Molecule: ribosomal RNA, 435 nt
Filed under: uncultured bacterium
Lineage: Bacteria
Description: partial 16S ribosomal RNA
Rfam family: Bacterial small subunit ribosomal RNA
Source: RNAcentral
AUCGAACGCUGGCGGCAGGCUUAACACAUGCAAGUCGAACGGGCAUCUUCGGAUGUCAGCGGCAGACGGGUGAGUAACACGGGGGAACGUACCCUUCGGUUCGGAACAACUCUGGGAAACGGGAGCUAAUACCGGAUACGCCCUUAUGGGGAAAGGGUUACUGCGGAAGGAUCGGCCCGCGUGUGCUUAGCCAGUUGGGGGGGUAACGGCCUACCAAGUCGACGAUCAGUAGCCGGUCUGAGAGGAUGAUCAGUCACACUGGGACUGAGAAACGGCCCAGAAUAUUGCGGGAGGGAGCAGUGGGGAAUAUUGGAAAAUGGGCGCAAGCCUGAUGCAGCCAUGACGCGUGAGUGAUGAAGGCCUUAGGGUUGUAAAGCUCUUUUGUCCGGGACGAUAAUGACGGUACCGGAAGAAUAAGCCCCGGCUAACUUCGUG